RNAcentral lists this ribosomal RNA (437 nucleotides) under uncultured Rhodoferax sp. Its description in RNAcentral is "bacterial SSU rRNA". It matches the Rfam family "Bacterial small subunit ribosomal RNA", at positions 943 to 1382 of the family's 1533-position model. The record is from RNAcentral. Lineage: Bacteria; Pseudomonadati; Pseudomonadota; Betaproteobacteria; Burkholderiales; Comamonadaceae.
GGUUUAAUUCGAUGCAACGCGAAAACCUUACCCACCUUUGACAUGUACGGAACCUUUAGAGAUAGAGGGGUGCUCGAAAGAGAGCCGUAACACAGGUGCUGCAUGGCUGUCGUCAGCUCGUGUCGUGAGAUGUUGGGUUAAGUCCCGCAACGAGCGCAACCCUUGUCAUUAGUUGCUACAUUCAGUUGGGCACUCUAAUGAGACUGCCGGUGACAAGCCGGAGGAAGGUGGGGAUGACGUCAAGUCCUCAUGGCCCUUAUAGGUGGGGCUACACACGUCAUACAAUGGCUGGUACAAAGGGUUGCCAACCCGCGAGGGGGAGCCAAUCCCAUAAAGCCAGUCGUAGUCCGGAUCGUAGUCUGCAACUCGACUACGUGAAGUCGGAAUCGCUAGUAAUUGUGGAUCAGAAUGUCACGGUGAAUACGUUCCCGGGUCUU